RNAcentral lists this unclassified non-coding RNA (517 nucleotides) under uncultured Glomus. RNAcentral describes it as "SSU rRNA". It matches the Rfam family "Eukaryotic small subunit ribosomal RNA", at positions 569 to 1089 of the family's 1831-position model. Lineage: Eukaryota; Fungi; Glomeromycota; Glomeromycetes; Glomerales; Glomeraceae. The record is from RNAcentral.
AGCAGCCGCGGUAAUUCCAGCUCCAAUAGCGUAUAUUAAAGUUGCUGCAGUUAAAAAGCUCGUAGUUGAAUUUCGGGAUCAAUAUGUUGGUCGUGCCUCGGUACGUACUAGCUUAUUGGUUUCUUCCUUCUGACGAACCAUAAUGUCAUUUAUUUGGUGUUAUGGGGAAUCAGGACUGUUACUUUGAAAAAUUAGAGUGUUUAAAGCAGGCUCACGCUUGAAUACAUUAGCAUGGAAUAAUGAAAUAGGACGUUUGAUUCUAUUUUGUUGGUUUCUAGGAUCGACGUAAUGAUUAAUAGGGAUAGUUGGGGGCAUUAGUAUUCAAUUGUCAGAGGUGAAAUUCUUGGAUUUAUUGAAGACUAACUACUGCGAAAGCAUUUGCCAAGGAUGUUUUCAUUAAUCAAGAACGAAAGUUAGGGGAUCGAAGACGAUCAGAUACCGUCGUAGUCUUAACCAUAAACUAUGCCGACUAGGGAUCGGAUGAUGUUAAUUUUUAAUGACUCAUUCGGCGUACCCG